AUUUUAUGUGGGUUUUGGGUACCC
This 24-nucleotide non-coding RNA is filed under the name Arabidopsis thaliana (thale cress). The record is from RNAcentral. Lineage: Eukaryota; Viridiplantae; Streptophyta; Magnoliopsida; Brassicales; Brassicaceae.